AUUGAACGCUGGCGGCAUGCUUUACACAUGCCAGUCGAACGGCAGCGCGGGCUUCGGCCUGGCGGCGAGUGGCGAACGGGUGAGUAAUGCAUCGGAACGUGCCCAGUAGUGGGGGAUAGCCCGGCGAAAGCCGGAUUAAUACCGCAUACGACCUGAGGGUGAAAGCGGGGGACCGAAAGGCCUCGCGCUAUUGGAGCGUCCGAUGUCGGAUUAGCUAGUUGGUGGGGUAAAGGCUUACCAAGGCGACGAUCCGUAGCUGGCCUGAGAGGACGACCAGCCACACUGGGACUGAGACACGGCCCAGACUCCUACGGGAGGCAGCAGUGGGGAAUUUUGGACAAUGGGGGCAAGCCUGAUCCAGCCAUGCCGCGUGCGGGAAGAAGGCCUUCGGGUUGUAAACCGCUUUUGUUCGGGAAGAAAUCCUCUGGGCUAAUACCCCGGGGGGAUGACGGUACCGGAAGAAUAAGCACCGGCUAACUACGUG
Molecule: ribosomal RNA, 484 nt
Filed under: uncultured bacterium
Lineage: Bacteria
Description: partial 16S ribosomal RNA
Rfam family: Bacterial small subunit ribosomal RNA
Source: RNAcentral